AAAACAUCCUCCCACCUCAGCCUCCCAAGUAGCUGGGAAUACAGGAGAGGAAGAAACAAGGCACAGGGGAGCUUGAGUACCUGGGACUGGCCUGUGAUGAAGCUGGGAUCUCACUGCAGUUAGAUGUGCUGGGGAUUAAACUGUGCCUGGGAAUUUGCAUUCCAGAAGAGAAGGAUAUUGAACUAGAAGGAUAGGUUUGCAAGUGAAUACUGUAUUAAGAUGUGAAUUUGUGGGUGGCAGUGCUCUUGUAUUUGUCCCUGUUUUCAUCUCCAGCCAGGUGGCUAAACCCGUUGCAUAUUCCUGCCCCUGGGAUUGUUUGUUGGGUUGGAGGGUGGGUGGGAGCAGAAGCUGGGGUCUCUGGCAGGAGUCAAAGGGAGUGGUAACAUUUCAGAGGGGAUGAGGUUUUGGUUUAGGAGAUCACAGCAUUCCCAGAGGUAUCAUGCUUCAAACGCAGUGGAGCUUCCACAUCUGAAGGGACAGCGAGGCCAGGCAGCAGCCCAGGGAGUGCCUGGCAACCCCUGGGGUAUUUGUGUGGGGAACCAGUAAUUACUGAGACGGAAUUUCUCAGCACCCUGAGGAAUGAGCUUCUGAGGCAGAAACAAAUUCAAUCAAUCAAUCAAUCAAUCAAUCAAUCAAUCAGUGAAUAUUUCUUGUGUCCCUGGAUUGGUGGGCUUCAAUUCACAUCCACCCACCACAUUUGGUCCAUCUCUGGAAUGGCAAAGAAUAUUUACAUCACACACAACUGCACCCCAUGGUCUGAUGAUGACGCCCAUUGGAGAUUUGCUGAGCAGAAAUAAGGCUCUCAGAAGCCGCUGUUGGGAAGGGGAUGAAGACGAAGCUGAGUUUGAAGAGCAGCCUGAAUGCUCUCACCCACUGGUCAGAUGUGAGGGUCACCAGAAUGGAGAGGAGGUAAAUCACUUAUUCCACAGUGUUGAGAUUCUUCCGUCUUUCUUUCUUUCUUUUUUUUUUUUUUUCUUAUUUCCCAGGCAAAAUACCCUAUGACUGAGAGAGAAGAACCUGAAUCCUGGCAUUCAAGAAUAUUCCUACAGUGGCCCAGCCUGGUCAUGCCAUGUAAGGCCUAGGCCAAUGCAUUGCCCCACCUGUGGGGAAGGCUGUUUUGUCAUGGUGGAAAUGAACCCACUGGAAACAAUGGGUGUUUUGGGGAGAAUGAAGCUCCCACUUGGCCCCAGUAGAAGAGCAUUCGAGUCUUGCUGGGGCCCAUUUCUGAGAUGCACCAGAAGUUAAUCAACUUUUUAGUGUCAGAAGACGCUUAUUUGAUCCCUGGGGCCCAUUUUUGAGAUGCACCAGAUCAGAGGCUGAGAAACUGCAGAGCUCAGUGACAUCACAAGGGUGAGGCCCUCGGGCCCCAGGGCUUUCAGAGCACAGGAAGGUUCAGUGCUGAGUCUGACUACUCAGAGCUCCAGAGUAGGCUUUCUUGAUGCUGCAACCAUCACCAGCACACAGUGGGCUGCCGAAAAGUGUCUGCACCUACCCAGUGAGGACAGGGUGCAGGGGCUCGUCCUCAGUGCUAGACUUCACAAGCCAGGGCUGUGUCUUCAGAACCGGUGUGGACAAACCUGAGUGGCAUAUCCCAUUCCAAGCUCUAUCUGACAGACCCUCACCCUCACACCUGCUCCCAACCACAGACGCUGUAAAGGCUGGGUACUAACGGGUGACGGAAACCAGUCAAAGAGAAAAGCUGAUUUUGGUGGCUCGCACCCAGGCCUUGCUGUUCAGGCCAGCACAUGCUGACAUGUCACCAAAGCUAA
This 1769-nucleotide long non-coding RNA is filed under the name Homo sapiens (human). RNAcentral describes it as "HSALNT0311066". The record is from RNAcentral. Lineage: Eukaryota; Metazoa; Chordata; Mammalia; Primates; Hominidae.